RNAcentral lists this unclassified non-coding RNA (413 nucleotides) under soil metagenome. RNAcentral describes it as "partial contains 5.8S ribosomal RNA, internal transcribed spacer 2, and large subunit ribosomal RNA". The stretch from base 1 to 120 matches the Rfam family "5.8S ribosomal RNA", at positions 35 to 154 of the family's 154-position model. The record is from RNAcentral.
GAUGAAGAACGUAGCGAAAUGCGAUAAGUAAUGUGAAUUGCAGAAUUCAGUGAAUCAUCGAAUCUUUGAACGCACCUUGCGCUCUUUGGUAUUCCGAAGAGCAUGCCUGUUUGAGUGUCAUGAAAAUAUCAACCUUGACUUGGGUUUUGUGCUCUAGUCUCGGCUUGGAAUUGGGUGCUUGCCGCUUUUACGAGCGGCUCACCUUAAAUGUAUUAGCUGGAUCUGUCUUUGAGACUUGGUUUGACUUGGCGUAAUAAGUAUUUCGCUAAGGACAUUCUUCGGAGUGGCCUCGUUUCUAGGACGCUUGUCCGCUUUCCAAUACAAGUUCCACUUCGUGGACAUGACUUUUUAUUAUCUGGCCUCAAAUCAGGUAGGACUACCCGCUGAACUUAAGCAUAUCAAUAAGCGGAGGA